UGGUGAAUGUAGAAAACUAGCUAUGAAGAAUAAAAAUCUUAAGAAACUAAAUUCUGAAAAUGAAAGCUUAAGGUCAUUUUCAGAAGAAUUGAUUCAGAAAAAUCAUAGCUUAAUUAAAGAAAAUCAAAACUUAAGUAAAGAAAUCAAUCAAUUAAGAUCUUUUAUUAACAAAUUCACUGUAAGUUCAGAAAGAUUAAAAAUGAUGUUUGAAAGCCAACAUGCUGAUUUUGAUAAAUCAAAAUUUAGCUUGACUCCUUCACUUAGUCAUAAAUCUCUAGGGAAAAAGGUUAUCAAUUCACCAAGCAAACCAUUAAAUAAGAUAACUUAUU
RNAcentral lists this long non-coding RNA (329 nucleotides) under Phoenix dactylifera (date palm). RNAcentral's name for it is "long non-coding RNA (PDAC_LNC016112)". Lineage: Eukaryota; Viridiplantae; Streptophyta; Magnoliopsida; Arecales; Arecaceae. The record is from RNAcentral.